Molecule: ribosomal RNA, 374 nt
Filed under: Leptailurus serval (serval)
Lineage: Eukaryota; Metazoa; Chordata; Mammalia; Carnivora; Felidae
Description: partial 16S ribosomal RNA
Rfam family: Bacterial large subunit ribosomal RNA
Source: RNAcentral
UUUGUUCCCUAAAUAGGGACUUGUAUGAAUGGCCACACGAGGGCUUUACUGUCUCUUACUUCCAAUCCGUGAAAUUGACCUUCCCGUGAAGAGGCGGGAAUAUAACAAUAAGACGAGAAGACCCUAUGGAGCUUUAAUUAACCGACCCAAAGAGUGCUCUAUUAAUUAACCGACAGGAACAACAAAUCUCUAUAUGGGCCGACAAUUUAGGUUGGGGUGACCUCGGAGAACAAAACAACCUCCGAGUGAUUUAAAUUUAGACUAACCAGUCAAAAGUAUUACAUCACUUAUUGAUCCAAAAGCUUGAUCAACGGAACAAGUUACCCUAGGGAUAACAGCGCAAUCCUAUUUCAGAGUCCAUAUCGACAAUAGGG